AUUUGGUUAGGGUUUGAUUAGGAUUUGAUUUAGGUUUUAAUAUUUGGUUAGGAUUUGGUUUAGGAUUUAGAAUUUGGAUUAAGGUUUAAUUUAAGAUUUAGGAUUUUAUUAGGAUUUAAGAUUCAAUUAGUUUUGGCCUAAAGUUUGAAUGAAUUUUAAUAGGAUUUUAACUAGAAUUAAAUUAAGAUUGAAUUGAGAUGUAUUUGAGUGAUAUUUAUGAUCCUUGUAAUAUUUCUUUAAGAAUUCUUAUUAUUUGUUUGAAAUUUCUUGAGGUAUUUUUGAAUUUAAUUGAAGC
This 295-nucleotide long non-coding RNA is filed under the name Physcomitrium patens. Its description in RNAcentral is "long non-coding RNA (PPAT_LNC003233)". Lineage: Eukaryota; Viridiplantae; Streptophyta; Bryopsida; Funariales; Funariaceae. The record is from RNAcentral.